CUAAACUAAUCUAUCGAAAUCCAAGGGGAAGUACCUUGGUCAUACAGAAUUCAUAUCGUUGAUGGCGUAUCGAAGCCAGAGAUAGUAUGAAUGCUAAGACUCCACUAUGCAGUGGUUAUCUGUUAAUAGUCAUUGUGUAAAGCGUGGUGAAGACACCUUUGAAAAACCUAAACCUAGUAAUAGGCAUGGAAGAGUAUAAAGGUGGGCAUCCGUAAA
This is a non-coding RNA of Clostridium cellulovorans 743B, 216 nucleotides long. Lineage: Bacteria; Bacillati; Bacillota; Clostridia; Eubacteriales; Clostridiaceae. The record is from Rfam.